CAAGUCGACUGGAAUUCUUCUUCGGAAGAUAGUACGGUGGCGGACGGGUGAGUAACGCGUAAAGAAUUUGCCCUUCAGACUGGGACAACUAAUCGAAAGGUUAGCUAAUACCGGAUAUUAUGAGACCUUGGCAUCAAGGACUUAUGAAAGCUAUAUGCGCUGGAGGAGAACUUUGCGUUCCAUUAGCUAGUUGGUAGGGUAAUGGCCUACCAAGGCGACGAUGGAUAGCCGGCCCGAGAGGGUGAACGGCCACAAGGGGACUGAGACACGGCCCUUACUCCUACGGGAGGCAGCAGUGGGGAAUAUUGGACAAUGGACCAAAAGUCUGAUCCAGCAAUUCUGUGUGCACGAUGAAGGUCUUCGGAUUGUAAAGUGCUUUCAGGUGGGAAGAAGAAAGUGACGGU
Molecule: ribosomal RNA, 404 nt
Filed under: uncultured Psychrilyobacter sp.
Lineage: Bacteria; Fusobacteriati; Fusobacteriota; Fusobacteriia; Fusobacteriales; Fusobacteriaceae
Description: bacterial SSU rRNA
Rfam family: Bacterial small subunit ribosomal RNA
Source: RNAcentral